RNAcentral lists this long non-coding RNA (212 nucleotides) under Mytilus galloprovincialis (Mediterranean mussel). Lineage: Eukaryota; Metazoa; Mollusca; Bivalvia; Mytilida; Mytilidae. The record is from RNAcentral.
UGCUGGUUAAAUUUUAGUAUACAAAUGCUAAUAAGAUGAAAACGUUUUAUCACAGACGCGAUUAAAAUCACUGUCGUUAAUGCAUCAGAUUCACAAUGUUGAUAAUUCAGUUUAUCUCUCCAUUAAGUAGCAAAAUUUUGAAUGCUGUAGAUUAUGCAAAAAUAUACAAAAAAAGUCGGAUUCUCGGUCUUUCAGCUGCUCAUCCCUACCAC